This 494-nucleotide ribosomal RNA is filed under the name uncultured bacterium. RNAcentral describes it as "partial 16S ribosomal RNA". It matches the Rfam family "Bacterial small subunit ribosomal RNA", at positions 28 to 507 of the family's 1533-position model. The record is from RNAcentral.
GACGAACGCUGGCGGCGUGCUUAACACAUGCAAGUCGAACGGUGAAGCGCCUUCCUUUUUGGUGGGUGUGGAUGAGUGGCGAACGGGUGAGUAACACGUGAGUAACCUGCCCCCUUCUUCUGGAUAACCGCAUGAAAGUGUGGCUAAUACGGGAUAUUCUGGGUCUGUCGCAUGAUGGGUCUGGGAAAGAUAUUGUUUCGGUGGGGGAUGGGCUCGCGGCCUAUCAGCUUGUUGGUGGGGUGAUGGCCUACCAAGGCGGUGACGGGUAGCCGGCCUGAGAGGGUGGACGGUCACACUGGGAAUGAGAAACGGCCAAGACUCCUACGGGAGGCAGCAGUGGGGAAUAUUGCACAAUGGGCGCAAGCAUGAUGCAGCGACGCCGCGUGAGGGAUGGAGGCCUUCGGGUUGUGAACCUCUUUCGCCAGUGAAGCAGGCCUGCCUCGUUUGUGGGUGGGUUGACGGUAGCUGGAUAAGAAGCGCCGGCUAACUACGUG